AGUGAACGCUGGCGGUAGGCCUAACACAUGCAAGUCGAACGGCAGCACAGUAAGAGCUUGCUCUUACGGGUGGCGAGUGGCGGACGGGUGAGGAAUACAUCGGAACCUACUUUUUCGUGGGGGAUAACGUAGGGAAACUUACGCUAAUACCGCAUACGACCUACGGGUGAAAGCAGGGGAUCUUCGGACCUUGCGCGAUUGAAUGAGCCGAUGUCGGAUUAGCUAGUUGGCGGGGUAAAGGCCCACCAAGGCGACGAUCCGUAGCUGGUCUGAGAGGAUGAUCAGCCACACUGGAACUGAGACACGGUCCAGACUCCUACGGGAGGCAGCAGUGGGGAAUAGUGGACAAUGGGCGCAAGCCUGAUCCAGCCAUACCGCGUGGGUGAAGAAGGCCUUCGGGUUGUAAAGCCCUUUUGUUGGGAAAGAAAAGCAGCAGGUUAAUACCCCGCUGUUCUGACGGUACCCAAAGAAUAAGCACCGGCUAACUUCGUG
Molecule: ribosomal RNA, 492 nt
Filed under: uncultured bacterium
Lineage: Bacteria
Description: partial 16S ribosomal RNA
Rfam family: Bacterial small subunit ribosomal RNA
Source: RNAcentral